UCGAGUGGGUUUAGGCCCACGGCGAACGGGUGAGUAAUACUUAGGAAUUUUCUUUAAGUCGAGAAUAUCCCACCGAAAGGUGGUGCANNNCUCGAUGUGGCCGCAAGGCUAAAGCCGCAAGGCGCUUAAAGUGAAGCCUGAAUCCCAUCAGCUAGUUGGUAAGGUAAAAGCUUACCANNNCUACGACGGGUAGCGGGUCCGAGAGGAUGAUNNNCCACACUGGGACUNNNACACGGCCCAGACUCCUACGGGAGGCNNNAGUUUGGANNUUUGGACAAUGGGGGAAACCCUGAUCCAGCGACGCCGCGUGGACGAAGACGGCCUNNNGGUUGUAAAGUCCUUUUGCUUGGGAAUAAUUUUGAAUGUACCAAGAGAAUAAGAGGUUGCUAACUCUGUGCCAGCAGCCGCG
This 409-nucleotide ribosomal RNA is filed under the name uncultured soil bacterium. Its description in RNAcentral is "partial 16S ribosomal RNA". It matches the Rfam family "Bacterial small subunit ribosomal RNA", at positions 62 to 519 of the family's 1533-position model. The record is from RNAcentral.